UACGGGGGGUGCGAGCGUUGUCCGGAAUCACUGGGCGUAAAGGGCGCGUAGGUGGUUUGAUAAGGGUGUGGUGAAAGUCCGGGGCUCAACCCCAGAUCUGCCGUGCCGACUGUCAAACUCGAGGGCUGUAGAGGCAGACGGAAUUCCGGGUGUAGCGGUGGAAUGCGUAGAGAUCCGGAGGAAGACCGGUGGCGAAGGCGGUCUGCUGGGCAGUUUCUGACACUGAUGCGCGACAGCGUGGGGAGCAAACAGG
This 253-nucleotide ribosomal RNA is filed under the name uncultured bacterium. RNAcentral describes it as "partial 16S ribosomal RNA". It matches the Rfam family "Bacterial small subunit ribosomal RNA", at positions 524 to 776 of the family's 1533-position model. The record is from RNAcentral.